RNAcentral lists this small RNA (160 nucleotides) under bovine gut metagenome. RNAcentral describes it as "Clostridiales-1 RNA". It matches the Rfam family "Clostridiales-1 RNA". The record is from RNAcentral.
GAUUACAGCGCCAAAAGUCUGACCACACGUCGUGCUUGCACGUAAGUGGGGGAAUGGCUUUAUGGCGCGCCCCCACAUGAGUAAGUAGUGGGGGAGGGGCCCCACGGAUUGCGAAUGUGGGGCAGGAUUGUGGGAGCGCGCAGCGCGGAACAAUCCGUAA